This 2142-nucleotide long non-coding RNA is filed under the name Panax ginseng (ginseng). RNAcentral describes it as "long non-coding RNA (PGIN_LNC015168)". The record is from RNAcentral. Lineage: Eukaryota; Viridiplantae; Streptophyta; Magnoliopsida; Apiales; Araliaceae.
AAAACUGAUAGUAAUAAUGAGAAAGUGAUCCAUGAAGAGUAAAGCCAACAAGGCCCGAUCUAAACAUGUGGAUAAUAUGAAAGCCAAUUGUGUUCAAACUGAACAAAUGAAACCAUAUCAAGAUAUAAACUGAACAACUGAAACCUGCUGCAAUACAAACUGAACCAAUGAAAUCAUAGCAAUACAAAGUGCCACAACACAAAUAUGCAAAACAAUUUGAACCAAGUAUCCCUUGUAGCUGUUACCAACAAGCCAUAACAAUACAAAGCUGCAGCCUGCAUGCCCUGUAUAUAGCAAUACAACACAAACUGAACCAUAGCAAUACAAAGUAAUAGAAACCACACAUACUUAAAUACACAAUGCUUAGAACGACAUUCACUUUUACGUAAAUACAAAAAUGGAAUCAUUUUGAAACUAUUCACCCGAGUUAAUAAAACAAUGUAUUACGAAAGUUUGUCAAAUAUACAUUCACUAGUAUAUUUGCCACAUUAACACAAACAACUUCAGCUUUAAAGAUGUUAUAAUAUUGUCUAACAUACAGUUACAAUUAUAAAAGUCCAUUACAUGAAAUUUACAGUACAUAAUGACACCAAAUAUAAGUGAUAUUCUGUCCAACAACCAUAGACAAUGUUCAGCACAACCACCAUAGACAAACUGAAAAAAAACAUGUUCAGCUGCACAACAAUAGGAAGCAUCACAGCCGCACAACAAUCACAACCAUAGACAAACUGAAACCAGCGAAACUAUGUUCAGCAGCACAACAACCAUAGACAAACUGAAACCAUAGAAAGCAUCAUAGUGACACCGUAGACUAUAAACCAUGCUGCAAACUAUAAAUAGACUGCAACACAAAAGCUAAAACCAUAGACUGAAAUAUACUCGAGCACAAACGAAAAGUGAGAGAAUGAAGCAAUGAACCUCUUAAAGAAAGAACAAAAACAGAUUACAACUAUGGAGUUGCUUAAACAAUAUAUGCAGUUUAAAGAUGAAACAAAAACGGAUAAGAAGAAAAAAACAAAGUAAAUCUCAGUACCCUUUCUCUUUCUCUGUCCCACUCUUCAUUUUCAAUCUAACAAUUAAUUAAUUCUCAAAUGGGAUUUGGUUUGUUUGGCCAUGUAGGAAAUAAGCGAAGAAGAAAUUCUAUUCAUGUUGAAGUUGUUCUGUUCAAGUUCUUGCUCAUUUUCAUCAGCCAGUUCUGUGGCUUAAAGUUCCAGUCUUUAUUAAACAAGUUUUCAGAAUUUUUAUCACAAUUUGCACUGCUCUCAAGAGAUAUCUUCAGGUAUAAAAUGAGUACUAGAAAUUGUUCAAGUAUAUUUUAAAUAUCUAUUUUUGUUUCAUAAAUUUGUUCAGCUCCAAAUGAUGUUAACCACAAAACUUUUUUCUCCCCAACUUACAUAAGAUAAUUGUUUGAUAAUCUUUUCAAUUUGGAUUCAUCAAAGAAAACUAAUUAUCGUAUAGAGAUUAAAAACCCUAUGAAAACCAAGUACCUAGAGAUUUAAAAAUCCUUUGAAAGAAGAUAAUCUACCAACCCCCAAUAAUUAAUUACAAGCAAAACUAUGACAAAUUUUACAAAUAAAAAAGGUACAAAUCAAACUGUCACAUGAAACUUCAGUUAUGUUUCUUGUUAAACAAAACUAUCCAAUUCCAUAAAUUUUACACAAAGCAACAGAAAAGUGGAGAAAUACAUAAACUACAGUACAAAACAAAAAUCAAACGAAAACCCAAAAUAAAAACAAGGUAUAUAUACAACAGUGGAUUAAUUUUCUCAUAUACCGAGCAAAAUAGUAAUGCCCAUAUAUGAGAAAACUAAUCUACUGGGUUGCUUAAAUUCAAAAAACUUACUGAUUAAAUAACAUAUUUACCGAUUAAAUGUUGAUUAGUUUGUUGUAGAACACAAAUUUUGGACGCACGAUAUCAAAUUUGAACAACUUGUUACCGAUCUGCACUCAAUUGCGAACUAGGGUUCAUUGGAAAAUCAUGGAAAAUCGCAGCAGCUUCAAAUUUGGGAGAUUAAAUAACAAACGUACCGUUUAAAUGCUAAUUAGCUGUGUUACUCGGACUCGUGUGCGGGUGUCGGGUGCGGGUACGAAUCUAGGUGUCGAACUCGUGAAGUCAAAAAAUAGAGGAUACGCGGAUAUAGAU